GGGCUCCUACGGGGCGCAGCAGUGAGGAAUAUUGGUAAAUGGCCGAGAGGCUGAACCAGCCAAGUCGCGUGAGGGAUGACGGCCCUACGGGUUGUAAACCUCUUUUGUCGGGGAACAAAGGCGGAGACGCGUCUCCGGAUGAGUGUACCCGAAGAAAAAGCAUCGGCUAACUCCGUGCCAGCAGCCGCGGUAAUACGGAGGAUGCGAGCGUUAUCCGGAUUUAUUGGGUUUAAAGGGUGCGCAGGCGGGAGAUCAAGUCAGCGGUAAAAUGUCGGGGCUCAACCCCGGACGGCCGUUGAAACUGG
This 305-nucleotide ribosomal RNA is filed under the name uncultured bacterium. RNAcentral describes it as "bacterial SSU rRNA". It matches the Rfam family "Bacterial small subunit ribosomal RNA", at positions 333 to 636 of the family's 1533-position model. The record is from RNAcentral.